GCUUACGGCCAUACCACCCUGAACACGCCCGAUCUCGUCUGAUCUUGGAAACUAAGCAGGGUCGGGCCUGGUUAGUACUUGGAUGGGAGACCGCCUGGGAAUACCAGGUGCUGUAAGCU
This is a ribosomal RNA of Echeneis naucrates (live sharksucker), 119 nucleotides long. Lineage: Eukaryota; Metazoa; Chordata; Actinopteri; Carangiformes; Echeneidae. The record is from Ensembl.